RNAcentral lists this ribosomal RNA (441 nucleotides) under uncultured bacterium. RNAcentral describes it as "partial 16S ribosomal RNA". It matches the Rfam family "Bacterial small subunit ribosomal RNA", at positions 338 to 795 of the family's 1533-position model. The record is from RNAcentral.
CCUACGGACGGCAGCAGUAGGGAAUUUUGCGCAAUGGGGGAAACCCUGACGCAGCAACGCCGCGUGAUUGAUGAAGCCCCUCGGGGUGUAAAGAUCUGUCAGUGGGGACGCAACUUCACGGUACCCACAGAGGAAGCAUCUGCUAACUGCGUGCCAGCAGCCGCGGUAAUACGGGGGAUGCAAGCGUUGUCCGGAAUCAUUGGGCUUAAAGAGUUCGUAGGUGGGUCGUUAAGUCGCGUGGUAAAUGCAGAGGCUCAACCUCUGUUCGGCAGUGGAUACUGGCGGGCUUGAAUGCGAGAGAGGUAAAGGGAAUUCGUGGUGUAGCGGUGAAAUGCGUAGAUAUCGGGAAGAACAUCGGUGGCGAAGGCGCUUUACUGGGCCGUAAUUGACGCUGAGGAACGAAAGCCAGGGUAGCAAAUGGGAUUAGAUACCCUUGUAGUC